CUUCUGCUGCUGCGUGCUCGCCGCGGAGUUUCCCUUGCCGGCGACUCUCUGGCUCUGGCCAAGCGCUUAGACACACAGGCUGCAACGGGGGAUGAGGGGAACCUCUGGGGGCGUUUUCUGCCUUCAACACUGACUCCUAAAGAUCUCUUCACCUGACCAUGCAGGGCCCUUAGCCGGGCUGUCCCCUCUGUCAAGUGGUUUCUAAUCCAGAGACAGUGGCAGCAAUUGUCUGUGGGAGAAGAAGCCAUUUGGGAUGGAGAAAGUGGAAAACUUACAUUCUCUGAAUGCUCUUUCCUAUCUUUUACAGUUUGUACACCACACAUGCAUUACCUGUUACAAACAAACGGACGUUUCCCUUCCAAGAUGGCACAGGGCUCUGAAUAUCAAUAGAUAGGUGCUUUUCAGGUUGGAAUGUUUCCUAGAGUUAUUCAACACAAUAAGACGCAGAGUAUGAGUUGUUCCCUGCCUUUCAGCCCUUCCCUUUGGUCUCCUCUACAGGACUCAAAUGAUGUAAAUUGCCCCAUUCGUUCUAUUCCUUCAUUUAACUAAUACUAGUUGCACUAAUAUUAGUGUCAGGUACCGAGCCAACCUUAGGAUACAGCUAUCUCAGAGAAGUAUCUGCCCUGCUCUUGUUCCUUCCCAGAGCUACUUUCCUGGAGGGAGAGACAAGCAGGCAAUUAUAAUCAUGCUAUAGGAUAGGAUAGAAUGAGGUGUGGUGGCAGCCUAGAAGGGGACCCUGAAGUAGCACAUGGGGUUUUGGGGAAGGCUUCCAGGAGGAGCCAGUGUGUAAGCCAAGCCCUGAAGGCAGAAUCGGGGCUAGCCAGGUGAAUCUGAGAUGAGGGGUGACGAGGCUCCAGGCAGAGGGAACUUACCAUGGCUAAGACACAGACAGGACCAAGCAAGCAG
Molecule: long non-coding RNA, 906 nt
Filed under: Homo sapiens (human)
Lineage: Eukaryota; Metazoa; Chordata; Mammalia; Primates; Hominidae
Description: non-protein coding lnc-CCAR2-5:1
Source: RNAcentral